UGGAAAUAAAAGGUCACCUGUGUGUUUCC
This 29-nucleotide non-coding RNA is filed under the name Mus musculus (house mouse). Lineage: Eukaryota; Metazoa; Chordata; Mammalia; Rodentia; Muridae. The record is from RNAcentral.